AUAUGCUUGUUUCAAAGAUUAACCCAUGCAUGUCUGAGCAUGAGCCGAAUAUGGUUAAGCCGCGAAUGGCUCAUUACAACAGCUUUUAGUUUUUUGGAUUUUAUAGUCCUACUUGGAUACCUGGUGGUAUUUCUAGAGUUAAUACGCGCAAUCAAGCCCCAACCUUACGGGCGGGGCGCAUUUAUUAGGUCAAAACCCAUUGGUGAAAGCCAUUAUUGGUGAAUCUGAAUAACUACGCUGAUCGCAUGGUCUCGUACCGGCGACGUAUCUUUCAAGUGUCUGCCUUAUCAACUUUCGUUGGUAGUUUAUAUGACUGCCAUGGUUGUAACGGGUAACGGAGAAUAAGGGUUCGACUCCGGAGAGGGAGCCUGAGAAACGGCUACCACAUCCGAGGAAGGCAGCAGGCGCGCAAAUUACCCACUCUCAGUAAAGAGGAGGUAGUGACGAAAAAUAACGAGACAGUUCUCUAUGAGGUCUGUCAUCGGAAUGGGUACAAUUUAAACCCUUUAAC
RNAcentral lists this ribosomal RNA (511 nucleotides) under uncultured eukaryote. RNAcentral's name for it is "bacterial SSU rRNA". It matches the Rfam family "Eukaryotic small subunit ribosomal RNA", at positions 26 to 538 of the family's 1831-position model. The record is from RNAcentral.